RNAcentral lists this signal recognition particle RNA (96 nucleotides) under Coxiellaceae bacterium. RNAcentral's name for it is "Bacterial small signal recognition particle RNA". It matches the Rfam family "Bacterial small signal recognition particle RNA". From Rfam's summary of the family: The signal recognition particle (SRP) is a universally conserved ribonucleoprotein involved in the co-translational targeting of proteins to membranes. Archaeal SRP consists of a 7S RNA and homologues of the eukaryotic SRP19 and SRP54 proteins. The record is from Rfam by way of RNAcentral. Lineage: Bacteria; Pseudomonadati; Pseudomonadota; Gammaproteobacteria; Legionellales; Coxiellaceae.
AGCCGGUCCUUUUACAACGUUAACCUACAAACCCCGCCAGGCCCGGAAGGGAGCAACGGUAGUGGGCGAGACGGGUGUCGAAUGCGGCUGGUGUGG